AUUGAACGCUGGCGGCAUGCCUUACACAUGCAAGUCGAACGGCAGCACGGGAGCAAUCCUGGUGGCGAGUGGCGAACGGGUGAGUAAUACAUCGGAACGUGCCCAGUAGUGGGGGAUAGCCCGGCGAAAGCCGGAUUAAUACCGCAUACGACCUGAGGGUGAAAGCGGGGGAUCGCAAGACCUCGCGCUAUUGGAGCGGCCGAUGUCAGAUUAGCUAGUUGGGGGGUAAAGGCCUACCAAGGCUACGAUCUGUAGUUGGUCUGAGAGGACGACCAGCCACACUGGGACUGAGACACGGCCCAGACUCCUACGGGAGGCAGCAGUGGGGAAUUUUGGACAAUGGGGCAACCCUGAUCCAGCAAUGCCGCGUGCAGGAAGAAGGCCUGG
RNAcentral lists this ribosomal RNA (387 nucleotides) under uncultured bacterium. RNAcentral's name for it is "bacterial SSU rRNA". It matches the Rfam family "Bacterial small subunit ribosomal RNA", at positions 29 to 419 of the family's 1533-position model. The record is from RNAcentral.